RNAcentral lists this ribosomal RNA (253 nucleotides) under uncultured microorganism. Its description in RNAcentral is "partial 16S ribosomal RNA". It matches the Rfam family "Bacterial small subunit ribosomal RNA", at positions 524 to 776 of the family's 1533-position model. The record is from RNAcentral.
UACGUAGGGCGCAAGCGUUAUCCGGAAUUAUUGGGCGUAAAGAGCUCGUAGGCGGUUUGUCGCGUCUGCCGUGAAAGUCCGGGGCUCAACUCCGGAUCUGCGGUGGGUACGGGCAGACUAGAGUGAUGUAGGGGAGACUGGAAUUCCUGGUGUAGCGGUGAAAUGCGCAGAUAUCAGGAGGAACACCGAUGGCGAAGGCAGGUCUCUGGGCAUUAACUGACGCUGAGGUGCGAGAGCGUGGGGAGCAAACAGG